This is a long non-coding RNA of Rana temporaria (common frog), 351 nucleotides long. RefSeq lists it as uncharacterized. The record is from RefSeq and is a predicted model, not a curated record. Lineage: Eukaryota; Metazoa; Chordata; Amphibia; Anura; Ranidae. The transcript has 3 exons.
UUGCUUUUCCACUCUUAAUAGGGAUUCGGUUACCUGCAUCUCUAUCCCCGACACGUCUUCUUUUGCCUGGGGACUGUAAUGUGUAUUUGCUCAUGUCAUUAUUGACAUAUUUGGCCUGGACCUGCGAUCAUCGAUCUCUAAACAUAUUUUUUGUAUUAUCUACUACCAUCGGUAUAUAUUUCAUCUAUCAUUGGAAUCUUCCUGGAUGAUUAUAUCCACCGCUGUGUAUCAGAUUGUGAAAAUCAUGGCUACAUAGUAGCAAUAAUCCUGUUCAUUUCGUCCUGAAGAAGCCCCACGGUGAAACGCGUAGGCGACUUCAAUAGGAUUCUUUCACUAUUCUCUUGUUCUGAA